Molecule: ribosomal RNA, 1340 nt
Filed under: Yimella sp.
Lineage: Bacteria; Bacillati; Actinomycetota; Actinomycetes; Micrococcales; Dermacoccaceae
Description: bacterial SSU rRNA
Rfam family: Bacterial small subunit ribosomal RNA
Source: RNAcentral
UUGAGUUUGUUCUUGGUUCAGGACAACCGCGGGCGGGGGGUUUAACCCAUCCAAUUCAAACGAGGAAGUUCCAGCUUGUUGGGGUGGAUUAUUGGGGAACGGGUAAUUAACACGUGAUUACCUUCCCCUCCAUUUUGGGUUAACCCUGGGAAAGGAGGUUUAAUACGGGAUAUUCAAACAGGGUGGCAGGGUGGGGUGGGGAAAGAUUUUUUGGUGGGGGAUGGACUCGCGGCCUAUCAGCUUGUUGGUGAGGUAGUGGCUCACCAAGGCUUUGACGGGUAGCCGGCCUGAGAGGGUGACCGGCCACACUGGGACUGAGACACGGCCCAGACUCCUACGGGAGGCAGCAGUGGGGAAUAUUGCACAAUGGGCGAAAGCCUGAUGCAGCGACGCCGCGUGAGGGAUGACGGCCUUCGGGUUGUAAACCUCUUUCAGUAGGGACGAAGCGAGAGUGACGGUACCUGCAGAAGAAGCACCGGCUAACUACGUGCCAGCAGCCGCGGUAAUACGUAGGGUGCGAGCGUUGUCCGGAAUUAUUGGGCGUAAAGAGCUUGUAGGCGGUUUGUCGCGUCUGCUGUGAAAGACCGGGGCUUAACUCCGGUUCUGCAGUGGGUACGGGCAGGCUAGAGUAUGGUAGGGGAGACUGGAAUUCCUGGUGUAGCGGUGAAAUGCGCAGAUAUCAGGAGGAACACCGAUGGCGAAGGCAGGUCUCUGGGCCAUUACUGACGCUGAGAAGCGAAAGCAUGGGGAGCAAACAGGAUUAGAUACCCUGGUAGUCCAUGCCGUAAACGUUGGGCGCUAGGUGUGGGACUCAUUCCACGAGUUCCGUGCCGCAGCUAACGCAUUAAGCGCCCCGCCUGGGGAGUACGGCCGCAAGGCUAAAACUCAAAGGAAUUGACGGGGGCCCGCACAAGCGGCGGAGCAUGCGGAUUAAUUCGAUGCAACGCGAAGAACCUUACCAAGGCUUGACAUACACCGGAAGCAUGCAGAGAUGUGUGUGCCUUUUGGCUGGUGUACAGGUGGUGCAUGGUUGUCGUCAGCUCGUGUCGUGAGAUGUUGGGUUAAGUCCCGCAACGAGCGCAACCCUCGUUCCAUGUUGCCAGCACGUAAUGGUGGGGACUCAUGGGAGACUGCCGGGGUCAACUCGGAGGAAGGUGGGGAUGACGUCAAAUCAUCAUGCCCCUUAUGUCUUGGGCUUCACGCAUGCUACAAUGGCUGGUACAGAGGGCUGCGAUACCGUGAGGUGGAGCGAAUCCCUUAAAACCGGUCUCAGUUCGGAUUGGGGUCUGCAACUCGACCCCAUGAAGUUGGAGUCGCUAGUAAUCGCAGAUCAGCAGUGC